This 443-nucleotide ribosomal RNA is filed under the name uncultured soil bacterium. Its description in RNAcentral is "bacterial SSU rRNA". It matches the Rfam family "Bacterial small subunit ribosomal RNA", at positions 26 to 506 of the family's 1533-position model. The record is from RNAcentral.
AGAGCGAACGCUGGCGGCAGGCCUAACACAUGCAAGUCGAGCGGCCGUAGCAAUACGGCAGCGGCAGACGGGAGAGUAACACGUGGGAACGUGCCCAUCAGUUCGGAACAACCCAGGGAAACUUGGGCUAAAUACCGGAUACGCCCUUACGGGGAAAGAUUUAUCGCUGAUGGAGCGGCCCGCGUCUGAUUAGCUAGUUGGUGAGGUAACGGCUCACCAAGGCGACGAUCAGUAGCUGGUCUGAGAGGAUGAUCAGCCUCACUGGGACUGAGACACGGCCCAGACUCCGUACGGGAGGCAGCAGUGGGAAUAUGGACAAUGGGCGCAAGCCUGAUCCAGCCAUGCCGCGUGGAUGAGUAGAAGGCCUUAGGGUUAGUAAAAUCGUUUCGGCGGGAAGAGUAAGUGAACGGUACCCGCGAAGAAGAACGCCCGGCUAACUUCGU